Molecule: small nuclear RNA, 139 nt
Filed under: Pogona vitticeps (central bearded dragon)
Lineage: Eukaryota; Metazoa; Chordata; Lepidosauria; Squamata; Agamidae
Description: U1 spliceosomal RNA (ENSPVIG00000015234.1)
Source: RNAcentral
AUCCUUUAGUGCACAGGUAUUAGCAUAUGCUAAUACCUGUGCACUAGAGGUGUGCUGCUGAUCCCUGUGAUUUCCCCAAAUGUGGGGAAUUCAACUGCAUAAUUUGUGUUAAUGGGGGAUUGCACUUAUGAUUUCCAUG